This 120-nucleotide ribosomal RNA is filed under the name uncultured bacterium. RNAcentral's name for it is "partial 16S ribosomal RNA". It matches the Rfam family "Bacterial small subunit ribosomal RNA", at positions 796 to 914 of the family's 1533-position model. The record is from RNAcentral.
CUGGCCGUAAACGAUGGGUACUAGGUGUAGGAGGUAUCGACCCCUCCUGUGCCGGAGUUAACGCAAUAAGUACCCCGCCUGGGGAGUACGGCCGCAAGGCUGAAACUCAAAGGAAUUGAC